GACGAACGCUGGCGGCGUGCUUAACACAUGCAAGUCGAACGGAAAGGCCCUGCUUUUGUGGGGUGCUCGAGUGGCGAACGGGUGAGUAACACGUGAGUAACCUGCCCUUGACAUUGGGAUAACUUCAGGAAACUGGGGCUAAUACCGGAUAGGAGCUACUGCUGCAUGGUGGGGGUUGGAAAGUUUCGGCGGUUGGGGAUGGACUCGCGGCUUAUCAGCUUGUUGGUGGGGUAGUGGCUUACCAAGGCUUUGACGGGUAGCCGGCCUGAGAGGGUGACCGGCCACAUUGGGCCUGAGAUACGGCCCAGACUCCUACGGGAGGCAGCAGUGGGGAAUAUUGCACAAUGGGCGGAAGCCUGAUGCAGCAACGCCGCGUGCGGGAUGACGGCCUUCGGGUUGUAAACCGCUUUCGCCUGUGACGAAGCGUGAGUGACGGUAAUGGGUAAAGAAGCACCGGCUAACUACGUG
This 468-nucleotide ribosomal RNA is filed under the name uncultured bacterium. RNAcentral's name for it is "partial 16S ribosomal RNA". It matches the Rfam family "Bacterial small subunit ribosomal RNA", at positions 28 to 507 of the family's 1533-position model. The record is from RNAcentral.